Molecule: long non-coding RNA, 567 nt
Filed under: Ananas comosus (pineapple)
Lineage: Eukaryota; Viridiplantae; Streptophyta; Magnoliopsida; Poales; Bromeliaceae
Description: long non-coding RNA (ACOM_LNC029618)
Source: RNAcentral
AAUUAUGGAUUUAUAAAACCUUUAAAUGUUGCGUAUGGUUCUUGGUUUCAACUAGAAUUGGGUCUUAUGUUGGACCACGAGUUGAAUUUUUUUGCUCAGAUCUUUCAGAAGCACCAAUUGAGGCAAAUAGGCUCAGUUCUUUAAAAUUUCGUUUGGUUCGGAUAUAAACAAGAAGAACUUUCUAUUCCAAUGAUAGGUGUAAGUUUAGGUAUAAACUUGAAAUAGAUCAAUUUUGCGUUUGGAUAAAAAUUAAGUUGUUCUCGGGAAUAAGAAAAAUAGCGUUUGAAUAGAUAAGAUGGAAUAAGAAAGAUAAUGAGUAGUUAUAAAUAGAAAAUAAUAAUAUUGUCCCUUAUAUUAAAUUUAAAAUUUAAAUUUAAUUUUUUACAUUUUAUAUUAAAAUUUUUAAAUUUAAAUAUAUAACUUUGAAAUUUCAAAAUCUUAAAAUUUAAAUUUAAAUUCAAAAAUUCAAAGUUCUAAAUUUUAUAUUUAAAAUUAAAUUUAAAUGUAAAAAUAUCAAAUUUUAAAUUUAAAAAAUUUAAAAUUUUAUUUUUUAAAAAAGUUAAAUUA